This 709-nucleotide long non-coding RNA is filed under the name Anser brachyrhynchus (Pink-footed goose). RNAcentral describes it as "lncRNA (ENSABRG00000000222.1)". Lineage: Eukaryota; Metazoa; Chordata; Aves; Anseriformes; Anatidae. The record is from RNAcentral.
GAAAAUUUAGUCUUAAACAAAUCUUCGAUACUUCUGAUCUCAAGAUUUUCAGUGGGGAGCAAUACUGGGUGGUUGCUGUUUUUCUAGUGCAUGUCCUGGUGUGGUUCACUGCCUAUAAACUACUUAUUUAACAUGGCUGUGAUGAAUUAUGUUACUGCCACUGCUUCAAACGCCUAACUAAACGUAUUAAAGCUGGGAUUCCCUUUUCAGCAACAGCACUGAAGCCUUAUGCCUACAUCUACAGCUAUUCUUAGGCUUACCUAAAACCCCCAGGAAGUAGAAGCCCUAAAAUAGGCUCAUUGCUUUUUAUUUUUUUUCAACAUGAAAGAAGUUUGGAAUAGAAUUGACUCCUCUGUUGAGCUUUAUGCUUAAUUUCCAACUUUUUAACUCUUUACCACAGUGCUGCUUUUCUUCCUCCACGUCCAGAAGUAAUGGAGGUCAAGUGAAUGGCUUCUACUUCCUUGUUGCAGUGCGGGUUAAUCCUCAGGAGACUGUACUUCAUGAACCAGGAGUUCAGCCUGAGAAGGUUUUGACGUCUUUCACAAAAGGGCAUAGCUGAACAAUAGCGCUUGAGCUAAAAACUAGGUAAGUAAGUGUAUUUCCCUUGCCUAUUUAAAGAUGGUCAUACAGGGCUUGUGCCAAAAAAAAAAAAAAUUAAGAUGUCCUCUACUUUAACCACUGCCAGGCCCAAGGGCUAAGCACAAGAGGU